Uranotaenia lowii is the source of this 298-nucleotide long non-coding RNA. RefSeq lists it as uncharacterized. The record is from RefSeq and is a predicted model, not a curated record. Lineage: Eukaryota; Metazoa; Arthropoda; Insecta; Diptera; Culicidae. The transcript is spliced from 3 exons.
GCCAAGUUCGUCUAAUUUGACGUUUAAGCAAAUUUCAAUAUCAAAAAGUUUGAAGAAGAUUGCAGAGCUCAGAGGGAUUUUUCCUCCCGGAAAUUGAGGUCUAAUGCAUCAGCCAAAGUAAAAGAUCCGGAGACUUUAAACAACUGGAUGUGAAGAAUUGAAGUGUUUCGGUAUGAAACCACGGAGUGGCAUGUUCACCCAAGGAACAUCCAUUUAUAAACACGAAGUUUCAUCGACUAGAAUUCUGUUACGCGUAGAAAUAUUGACGAGGGAUACCGCGGUAACGUUUCAUCGAGAU